Molecule: ribosomal RNA, 1515 nt
Filed under: metagenome
Description: bacterial LSU rRNA
Rfam family: Bacterial large subunit ribosomal RNA
Source: RNAcentral
UGACCUAAGGUGAGGGCGGGAGCCGUAGCCGAUGGACAACAGGUUGAUAUUCCUGUACUGCAGUAUGACAGAACUGUGGGGACACGUAAGGAGAGCGGGAGCCGGGAAUGGAAAGCCCGGUACAAGCGAGGUACCAGUACGGUAGGAAAAUCCGCCGUGCAAUGGGAAGACGUGAUGUGGAGCGAAAUUUAGUAGCGAAGCCCGUGAGCCAUGCGUCAAGAAAAGCCGCUAUUGUUUAUACUGUACCCGUACCGUAAACCGACACAGGUGGAUGAGGAGAGAAUCCUAAGGCCGGCGGAAGAAGUAUUGCCAAGGAACUCGGCAAAAUGGCCCCGUAACUUAGGGAGAAGGGGUGCCUGCGAGAGCAGGCCGCAGAGAAUAGGCUCAAGCAACUGUUUAGCAAAAACACAGGUCUAUGCGAAACCGAAAGGUGAGGUAUAUGGGCUGACGCCUGCCCGGUGCUGGAAGGUUAAGAGGAGAGGUUAGCGGUAACGCGAAGCUUUGAAUUUAAGCCCCAGUAAACGGCGGCCGUAACAAUAACGGUCCUAAGGUAGCGAAAUUCCUUGUCGGGUAAGUUCCGACCCGCACGAAAGGCGUAAUGAUUUGAGCGCUGUCUCGGCAAUACAUCCGGUGAAAUUGAAGUGCCAGUGAAGAUGCUGGCUACCCGCGCCAGGACGGAAAGACCCCAUGGAGCUUUACUCCAGUUUGGCACUGGGGUCCGGUGUUGCAUGUACAGGAUAGGUGGGAGGCUGAGAAACGGUAACGUCAGUUGCCGCGGAGCCGCUGUUGGGAUACCACCCUUGUGAUAUUGGGCUUCUAACCAGCCGCCGUGAUCCGGCGGUGGGACAAUGCCAGGCGGGGAGUUUGACUGGGGCGGUCGCCUCCGAAAGGGUAUCGGAGGCGCCCAAAGGUUCCCUCAGAAUGGACGGAAACCAUUCGAAGAGUGCAAAGGCAGAAGGGAGCUUGACUGCGACACCGACGGGUGGAGCAGGUACGAAAGUAGGGCUUAGUGAUCCGGUGGUAUUAAGUGGGAAUGCCAUCGCUCAACGGAUAAAAGCUACCCUGGGAUAACAGGCUUAUCACUCCCAAGAGUUCACAUCGACGGAGUGGUUUGGCACCUCGAUGUCGGCUCAUCGCAUCCUGGGGCUGUAGUAGGUCCCAAGGGUUGGGCUGUUCGCCCAUUAAAGCGGUACGCGAGCUGGGUUCGGAACGUCGUGAGACAGUUCGGUCCCUAUCCGGCGUGGGCGUAGGAUAUCUGAGAGGAGCUGUCCUUAGUACGAGAGGACCGGGAUGGACGGACCGCUGGUGGACCGGUUGGCUUGCCAAAGCCAUGGCCGGGUAGCCAAGUCCGGAAGGGAUAAACGCUGAAGGCAUCUAAGCGUGAAGCCCCCCUCAAGAUGAGAUAUCCCAUUCUUAUGAAGUAAACCCCCUUGAAGACGACGAGGUAGAUAGGGCAGGGGUGGAAGUGUGGCAACACAUGGAGCUGACUGUUACUAAUCGGGUGAGGGCUUGAUC